CAAGUACUCCCUCCGUCCGGAAAUACUUAUCAUCAAAAUGAAUAAAAGGGGAUGUAUCUAGAUGUAUUUUAGUUUUACAUAUAUCCCUUUUUGUUCAUGUUGAUGACAAGUAUUUUCGGACGGAGGGAAUAGGUA
Molecule: non-coding RNA, 135 nt
Organism: Triticum urartu
Lineage: Eukaryota; Viridiplantae; Streptophyta; Magnoliopsida; Poales; Poaceae
Source: Rfam